CGAACGGGUGAGUAACACGUGAGUAACCUGCCCUUGACUUUGGGAUAACUUCAGGAAACCGGAGCUAAUACCGGAUAAUAUAUUGAACCGCAUGGUUCAAUAGUGAAAGACGGUUUUGCUGUCACUUAUAGAUGGAUCCGCGCCGCAUUAGCUAGUUGGUAAGGUAACGGCUUACCAAGGCAACGAUGCGUAGCCGACCUGAGAGGGUGAUCGGCCACACUGGAACUGAGACACGGUCCAG
Molecule: ribosomal RNA, 241 nt
Filed under: uncultured Staphylococcus sp.
Lineage: Bacteria; Bacillati; Bacillota; Bacilli; Caryophanales; Staphylococcaceae
Description: partial 16S ribosomal RNA
Rfam family: Bacterial small subunit ribosomal RNA
Source: RNAcentral